RNAcentral lists this transfer RNA (67 nucleotides) under Schistosoma mansoni. The record is from RNAcentral. Lineage: Eukaryota; Metazoa; Platyhelminthes; Trematoda; Strigeidida; Schistosomatidae.
CAGUGGUGGAGUGGAUAACGCGAUGGUGUUUGAAGCGAGUGGUACUGGGUUCGAGCCCCAGAAUGAA